UUACGUUGAGAUGAUUGUCCGGGCUGCGCAGUCUUGGGAUGAAUCGCGUGACGCUGGGAGACUGAAACGGGUGAAGAUCCGGUGCGGAUGCAGGGAUCAGCUGGGUGGAUCACGGAGGAGGGCGUGGACUUCCUUCUUCGGGCCAUGCUGGGAUCAUGGAGAAGGGGGGUUGUCCGGGAUGCGGAAUGGAUGAUCACUGCGGACAGCUGGAUCACGGCUUGCAUCACGGGAAGCUUGGAUGCGGAAGAGGCUGAAACGCCGGGAUUAGAUGCAGUGAGAUGCUGGGAUUUUGGGAUCGCUGGAAAUCUGGGAGGAUGACGUGGAUCUGCCGUGGAGGAAGGCUUGGAGGUGUCAUGGACGGCGAGAUGAGGUGCUUCACGAGCGGCUGGGACGUUGAUCACGGACUUGGGGCCGCGGGAGGAAGAAGCUGGGGCUUGUGGAAGAAGCGGACUCGGAGGCUUGAAGCGUGGGAUGCUGGGAG
Molecule: long non-coding RNA, 481 nt
Filed under: Phoenix dactylifera (date palm)
Lineage: Eukaryota; Viridiplantae; Streptophyta; Magnoliopsida; Arecales; Arecaceae
Description: long non-coding RNA (PDAC_LNC003886)
Source: RNAcentral